AUUGAACGCUGGCGGCUUGCUUUACACAUGCAAGUCGAACGGCAGCGCGGGCUUCGGCCUGGCGGCGAGUGGCGAACGGGUGAGUAAUGCAUCGGAACGUGCCCAGUAGUGGGGGAUAGCCCGGCGAAAGCCGGAUUAAUACCGCAUACGACCUGAGGGUGAAAGCGGGGGACCGAAAGGCCUCGCGCUAUUGGAGCGGCCGAUGUCGGAUUAGCUAGUUGGUGGGGUAAAGGCUUACCAAGGCGACGAUCCGUAGCUGGUCUGAGAGGACGACCAGCCACACUGGGACUGAGACACGGCCCAGACUCCUACGGGAGGCAGCAGUGGGGAAUUUUGGACAAUGGGGGCAACCCUGAUCCAGCCAUGCCGCGUGCGGGAAGAAGGCCUUCGGGUUGUAAACCGCUUUUGUUCGGGAAGAAAUCCUCUGGGCUAAUACCCCGGGGGGAUGACGGUACCGGAAGAAUAAGCACCGGCUAACUACGUG
Molecule: ribosomal RNA, 484 nt
Filed under: uncultured bacterium
Lineage: Bacteria
Description: partial 16S ribosomal RNA
Rfam family: Bacterial small subunit ribosomal RNA
Source: RNAcentral